Miniopterus natalensis is the source of this 308-nucleotide non-coding RNA. NCBI's taxonomy places the organism in Eukaryota, Metazoa, Chordata, Mammalia, Chiroptera, Miniopteridae. The record is from RefSeq and is a predicted model, not a curated record.
CAGGGUAUCCAUGGGAACGUGAAAGCAGUGAGACCAGGAUUAAGACUUUGGACAAAGGAGAGAACAAGAAAACUCUUCCAUCUGGGAAGACAGAAAACUCAGCGUGGCGCAGAGGAGCCAAGCACUCCCAGGGCGUGAUAACAGCUGGAACAUAAGCUCUGGGAGAGCCGAGGUUGGCGUGUGCUGUUUCACAACUGGAAACACAUGGCAGGUGCCCCACAGGCCGACUUCUGACCCUAGGCAGCAAUAAGUUAACAGCGAUGAUUUCUGAACGGAGGUGAGGAUUAACCAAAAAAAAAAGGGUUACC